RNAcentral lists this unclassified non-coding RNA (343 nucleotides) under soil metagenome. Its description in RNAcentral is "partial contains 5.8S ribosomal RNA, internal transcribed spacer 2, and large subunit ribosomal RNA". The stretch from base 1 to 120 matches the Rfam family "5.8S ribosomal RNA", at positions 35 to 154 of the family's 154-position model. The record is from RNAcentral.
GAUGAAGAACGCAGCGAAAUGCGAUACGUAAUGUGAAUUGCAGAAUUCAGUGAAUCAUCGAGUCUUUGAACGCACAUUGCGCCCCCUGGUAUUCCGGGGGGCAUGCCUGUCCGAGCGUCAUUGCUGCCCUCAAGCACGGCUUGUGUGUUGGGCCUCCGUCCUCCUCCCGGGGGACGGGCCCGAAAGGCAGCGGCGGCACCGCGUCCGGUCCUCGAGCGUAUGGGGCUUCGUCACCCGCUCUUGUAGGCCCGGCCGGCGCUUGCCGACACAUCAAUCUUUUUUCCAGGUUGACCUCGGAUCAGGUAGGGAUACCCGCUGAACUUAAGCAUAUCAAUAAGCGGAG